RNAcentral lists this ribosomal RNA (327 nucleotides) under Triticum aestivum (bread wheat). Its description in RNAcentral is "partial small subunit ribosomal RNA". The record is from RNAcentral. Lineage: Eukaryota; Viridiplantae; Streptophyta; Magnoliopsida; Poales; Poaceae.
AUGAUGUUAAUACGUCACAAUUUACAGAAUGCUCUUUUAGUACUUAAUAUGAUUGACUGCUUCAAUCUUGCGAAGGAAUGCCAUGACAAGCGUUCACUUUGCAGGCACAAUGAACAAUCACUCUAUUUGUUAUGCUCAUAUGUAGAGAUCUUUUUUCCAAGGAAAAAGCUAGAAACUACACCAGUUCUUCUAUCGAAGGUGAUUACGCCGGUUCGAGCCUCCGGGUGUCUCAGUCCUUUGUCAAUCUACCAACGGAACAACACUGAGCCUCUAUGGAUCUCAAGAACAACCUCCCGUCCUACAAGCAAUUUGACAGGUACAAAUUAA